RNA transcript from Folsomia candida, 5431 nucleotides. It is a transcript of the gene named dynamin, with no coding region annotated. The record is from RefSeq and is a predicted model, not a curated record. The transcript has 16 exons. NCBI's taxonomy places the organism in Eukaryota, Metazoa, Arthropoda, Collembola, Entomobryomorpha, Isotomidae.
UGUUUGCGACCACCUUAUGAAGCAAUUUGGUGCUGGACAUCUCGAUAAGAUUCUCGUUCCCUGGUAGAUAAGUAAGAAUUGACUGUGUGUGGAGGGCGUGCCCCUAGUUGGCCGAGUAGUGGAGGCAGCCCGUCCCAGGGCUAAACAACACCACCACCCUUCGCCACCAUGUCGGCCGGAAAUGCGGGGAUGGAGUCCCUCAUCCCCAUUGUCAACAAGCUGCAGGAUGCCUUUACCCAGCUGGGCGUCUCCAUGUCACUGGACCUUCCCCAAAUUGCCGUCGUGGGAGGUCAAUCCGCCGGAAAGUCAUCCGUGCUAGAAAAUUUUGUUGGCCGCGAUUUCCUCCCUCGCGGGAAUGGAAUCGUCACCCGGCGGCCCCUUAUCCUCCAACUGAUCAACUCACCGAUGGAGUAUGGCGAAUUUUUGCACGCCAAGGGGAAAAAAUUUGGAGAUUUUGACGAAAUUCGGCGUGAAAUUGAGGCAGAAACUGACCGUGCAACGGGGUCGAAUAAAGGAAUUUCUAACGUGCCCAUUAACCUGCGUGUCUAUUCACCGCACGUCCUCAACAUAACACUUAUCGAUCUACCAGGAUUGACUCGUGUUCCCAUCGGUGAUCAGCCGGCCGACAUUGAGCAGCAAAUUAAGGAUAUGAUAAUGCAAUUCAUCUGUAAAGAGACGUGUCUCAUCUUGGCCGUGACUCCAGGAAAUUCUGACCUCGCGACAUCUGACGCUCUAAUGAUGGCAAAACAAGUUGACCCCGACGGUCUCCGAACCAUCGGUGUCCUCACCAAACUCGACCUCCUCGAUCAGGGAACCGAUGCGAGAGAAACAUUGGAGAACAAGGUCGUCCCACUGCGUCGCGGUUAUGUCGGGGUUAUCAACCGGUCACAAAAGGAUAUCGAGGGAAAGAAAGACAUCAAAGCGGCGUUGGACGCUGAGCGCAAGUUUUUCCUGAGCCACCCCUCCUACCGUCACAUGGCGGACCGGCUGGGGACGCCGUACCUGCAAAAGACGUUGAACCAGCAGUUGACGAACCACAUUCGCGACUGCCUCCCCGCCUUACGCGAUAAGAUGCAGAAACAGAUGCUCUGUCUUGAGAAGGAGGUCGAACAGUAUAAAUAUUUCAGGCCAGACGACCCCGCCAUCAAGACCAAGGCCAUGCUACAAAUGAUCCAACAGCUUCAGUCGGACUUUGAGAGGACGAUCGAAGGUUCAGGGUCGGCCUUGGUGAACACAAACGAGCUGUCGGGGGGAGCCAAGAUCAAUCGCCUCUUCCACGAGCGCUUUCCCUUCGAACUAGUCAAGAUGGAGUUUGACGAGAAGGAGUUGCGACGCGAGAUUGCGUUCGCCAUCCGUAACAUUCACGGCAUCCGAGUCGGCCUCUUCACCCCGGACAUGGCUUUUGAAGCCAUCGUUAAAAAACAGAUCAACCGACUCAAGGAGCCCUGUCUCAAGGCUGUCGACCUCGUCAUCGCCGAACUCUCAAACGUCGUCCGACUCUGUGCUGACAAGAUGAACCGCUACCCCCGCCUGCGCGAGGAGACUGAGAGGAUCAUUGCAAACUUUGUGCGUGAAAAGGAACAACUCUGUAAGAACCAGGUUCUUAUGAUGAUCGAUUGUGAGCUGGCCUACAUGAACACGAACCACGAAGACUUUAUCGGAUUCGCCAAUUAUUACCGUUACAAAGAGGCAGGAUGCACUUCGUCGGGUAGUCUUGUGGUUGGAGAAUGCCCACUUGUUGGUGGGGCCGAUAGUGCACAGAACGUGACGGAGAAUGCGACACGGACAAAGAAGUUGGGCAACCAGGUGAUCCGCAAGGGCUACAUGUGCAUCCACAACUUGGGGAUAAUGAAGGGAGGGUCGAAGGACUACUGGUUCGUCCUUGCGUCCGAGUCCCUGUCUUGGUUCAAGGAUGAGGAGGAACGUGACAAAAAGUAUAUGCUCCCACUCGACGGGCUCAAAAUUAGGGAUAUCGAGUCUGGAUUUAUGUCGAGGAGACACACUUUCGCCCUCUUCAAUCCAGAGGGACGCAACGUCUACAAGGACUUUAAGACGUUGGAGCUCUCGACGGAAACUCAGGACGAUGUGGAUUCCUGGAAGGCGUCGUUUUUGAGAGCGGGUGUCUAUCCCGAGAAGCAGUCAGAUUCCACGGCAAACGGGGAUGAUAGCAGUGUUGAUCAGGGAAUGUCCUCCCUCGACCCGCAGCUUGAGCGUCAAGUCGAGACGAUCCGAAAUCUGGUCGAUUCUUACAUGAAGAUUGUGACAAAGACGACGAGAGAUCUCGUUCCUAAAACUGUCAUGUAUCUGAUUAUUAAUUCAUGCAAGGAUUUCAUCAACGGAGAACUCUUGGCGCAUCUGUACGCUACGGGAGAUCAGAAUUCCAUGAUGGAGGAGAGUGCCGAGGAGGCGAUGAAACGGGAGGAGACGCUUCGCAUGUACCACGCUUGCAAAGAAGCUGUCCGCAUCAUUGGCGAUGUCUCAAUGGCGACAGUGUCAACUCCACUGCCUCCCCCGGUUCGUGGGGGUGGUGGUGGUGGAGGGAUGAGCAUGGGAAUGAGCUCUGACUACUCUGGCGGUGGGGUCAAUGCCAGCUAUUUGGGCUAUAAUGAAGUUCCCAGCAGGGACAGAAACUAUAAUUUUGACCAGCUCCGGUCCACCUCCGUGUCGAAUGGUCACCACCAACGCCACACGAACUCCUCCUCUCCCACCACCAUCAUGCUGAGUGGUGGCGGUGGACAGCAGUCAGUCUCUGAAUUCGAGAUAGGUCUGACGCGAUUGGAUAACUCAAUGCGAUCUGUUUUUCAAUCCGAAAGGCCCAGCCCGCCCAGUCCUGGAGGAGGCGGAGCUCGUCGCGGACCCACCGGUCCACUCCCACCUGCCGCUGCUGCUGCUCCAAUGGGUGGAAAUCGUGGGCCACCUCCCAUGCCCAACAACCCCGGAGCACGACCUGCACCUGCCGUUCCUAACAGACCCGGCGGUGGAGCUCCUCCAGCACCCAUGCCCAAAGGGGGUCUUCCUCCACCACUCAUUCCUUCUCCAAAGAAGAAGUAGACAUGUACUUAUUUAAAUUCGUCAAUGAAUUAAUGAAUUAUUUCCCACGUUAAGAAAACUUAAUUCUGCGACAAAACUCACCCCCACGACGUGCACCCAACUUAAUUAUCUCUCUAAUUCCACGACACUCAAUUCAAAAUUGCAACGAAAUUCAGCAACGUGUAAAAUUAACUAACUAAAUAAUUAGGCAGAAAUUAUAUCUGACUCUGUGACUAACUUAACUAGAAAAAAACAUGGAACUAAUUUAGUUGUUCUUCAAUCUGUAACUUUUAAAAUUAUUAAUAAUAAUCAAACUGUUUAGUUAGUUAAUUUAAAAUCGGGCAAAUAUUCGUGUCGCGUCAAAAAGUAGAAGCAGGCAAGUCAGUAGGGAAGAAUUAUUAUUUUCAUUGCAACAAUUAGUUGAUGACUUGGUAAUAUUCAAUCCAAUCUGGACAUUGGAUCGUCGCCGAUGAUGAUAUAUCAUUCAUUUUAAGGAAGCGUACAGAAAGUUGGGUAUAUUAUAGUUAGUUAAUUUAGUUGUACAGCUUUUAAUCAGCAUAAAUUAUAGUUAGAUAAGUUAGGUCAUGACAAAGCAAAUCGGCACUAAUAGCACUUAACUAAAAUUCACUCUAUGAUUUGACAGAAUAAAUAGGGCUUCCACUUCUCGCACCAGUUUCUUGACUAAUUAUUCUAAACUUGAGCAUUUAUGUAACUUGCUGCUUUUUGUAUACGAGUAAUUCUUUACAUUCCAGUUUUAUUAGUUAUUUAGACAUUUAAAUACUUAUGCAUGGUCAGGUUUGUCUUCAUCAUCAAUUACAAAUAGGUACAAAAUGGCCUGCUAUUUAUUUAUGACAUAUGCUCAGUUUAGUUUAGUUAGCUAAUUAUGUAUGUAAUUGUGCACGACAAUUUACUAAAUUCGUCGUCUUCUCUGCCUCACCCACAAUUUUUGUGUCUUUCCACAUUUUGUUAAUAUUAAACAUGUAUUUAGCACAGUGAUCUGUUAUUACUCUUUAAUUGUACAAAUAGUAGGGUAAAAAGUUGGGCGAGUUUUAUUUUACCGUAACCAGAUUUUAGGACGUAUGUAUAAUUUAGGAUAAAAAUAGAUAGUUAAAUCGAAAUACAUAGAAGAUGAUUCUCUGGCAGAAAGGAACGCAUUGCAUCAAUCAAAACAAAAUGAACUAGAUCCGUAGUCAGAAAAUAACUACAUAAUUAAUUAACUAAUUAAUUAGAUAAUCUCAAUCCCAGAGGAAGGAAAUACAUGACUAAAUAAAUAACUAAUUGUCCUCUCUCCUGCCCUUAAAGAUUAAGAAAAAGUAUAAAACUACUGAUUUAGCCCGUGAAGCCAGAGAUUGUAUAAUUGUUGAGAAGAGAAAGCAUUCAUAGAGAGAAAUACUAUAAUUAAUUAUAACUAUAAAUAAAUAAAUAUUGAUGACGAUCAUCAUCACGUCGUAGUAAAUACGAAGAAGUAAAUUAGUGUACCCUCAAAAAAUAAUACCUUAAAGAUUAUUUACAAAAUGUCGAUAUAAAUUACGCCCCCAGAGGAAGACGAAAAUGAAAUAAAUUAUUAUAUGAAAUAACUAUUGAUUUCUGAAAGAAAAAAUACUAAUAUUUGAUCAUUAAUCCGUUUCAUACCUUAAUUUUAAUUUAAUUCGAGUUGAUUGACAACUUUAACAGUUUUGAUUUCCAAGUUAUGCAGAGUGCAUAAUUUAAUUUCUAAAAUUUUCUCAAUCUAAUCCUUUCAUCUAAUAAAAUUACAUACAAACGAAAUUGACCGUCUAAUUAAUUACUGCUUAAAUUGCUUUGCUCUUUUUCUCCUCUGCUUUCACUUGACGCACUUUUAUCAUUCCACCCGGGUAAACACUGGUGGUCCCCUGAACGCCCCCAGGAUACCGGAACGACCCCAACAGGGCAGACCCCAGUACUAAUUAUUAAGAAACACUUCACUACCAGUAAUAAUCAAGCAAGCAAUCAAUCAAUCAGCAAACCAGAUCAAGAACAAGAGGAUCCAUACAUACGUUUAUUUAUGCCUCCAAUUAACUAACUAUAACACUCCUGGACACUACAAUUUGUAUUUUACCCAUUUUUUGCUUUAAAAAGAUGUAUUUAUGUACCAAUUUUACGCUACGUAAUUACCUAUGUAUUAAUUAAUCCGUGAUGUCGUUGUUCAACGCGUGCUCUGAGCUGUAUGUAUUUUUAUCAAAUAAUUUAGGAAUUUACACAAUUUUGUUGUUGCUUAUUCUACUCUUUUUUAGUUAACUGUUUACAUUUCUAUAUUUCCAAUAAGUCCUCUGUUUAGAAUAUGUACGUAAAAUGUCUCUGUCAUGCAAAACCAAAAUAAUAAUGACCAACCAUUUUAAUACUGUCAUAAAACCGUUAUUAUUAAUUUGUAUUUGUAAAGAAA